Mercurialis annua (annual mercury) is the source of this 1344-nucleotide RNA transcript. It is a transcript of the gene named protein ABC transporter 1, mitochondrial-like, with no coding region annotated. The transcript is spliced from 3 exons. The record is from RefSeq and is a predicted model, not a curated record. NCBI's taxonomy places the organism in Eukaryota, Viridiplantae, Streptophyta, Magnoliopsida, Malpighiales, Euphorbiaceae.
AAAGCACAAGAAACACAAUUUCAUUAUUUUCUCUCUCCUCUUUAUUUAAUUCCCUAUUUCUCUCAGCUCCAUAAUCGCCUUUGUCUCCGUCUCCUCGGUGUCUCCGCUUGUAGUCUCCGCCGGUCUCUCCAUCAUCAUCUUCGCCGGCCUCUCUGUCGUUGUUUAAAGGCUUUAAUAAUCUAAAUUUAAAGAAAUGCAUUAUCUGGUAAAUUAAUCGAUUCCCUUAAUCUGGAUUUGGUGAUCUUUUGAUGUCGUGAAAGAUUUCCAUCGCUAUUAGCGGUGGUUGGAUGCAGCGGCGACUGUACUCUGAUGUUCCAUUCUUUUAUGACAAAUUUAGUGCCAUGGGGCGCUUUCCAUCUGGAUUUCUCGAGCAACUCCGACCCAGAGUCAGGGCGUUUCCGUAUGGCAGAUGGGAAGAAAUGGCGGUGCCGAUAUAGGAAAAAUUACAUCGAGGAAAGCAACGAGAAACAAUUUCGCAGCGGCGGUGGUCGGCAUAGAUGUAAUUGACUUUUUUUUCGAGAAAUAGAUGUAAUUGAUUUAACGGGAAGAAUAACAACAGCUCCGAUGAUGAAUUUGGUGUUUUUGGCAAUUGUUUUGGUGAGUCAAUUCACAACGGAUCAUUUGGCCCUCUGAUAUUCUCAGAGUAAGUAUCAAAACUUGAGUUUUUUGCAUAAAUUUUAGCUUUUCCAAUUCAAAUAGCAAGAAAUGUAUGUCUGUGUUAGUUUGUUGAUGGAAGCAACCAACUUGAAGCGGUUCCGUGAACGACUAUCUGAUGUUAAGGGUUACUAUGUUCCAAUGGUUAUAGAUGAGCUUUCAUGCAAGAGAGUAUUAACUACAAAACUUAUUUCUGGAAUUCUUAUUGAUAAGGUGGCCUUACUGAAUCAAGAAACUCGUAAUUAUGUCGGGACAAAGUUGUUAGAUUUCACAUUGAUGGAGUUAUUUGUAUUCCGAUUUAUGCAGGCGAGCCCUUAAUUAUUGCAUGUCAAUCACUAGUUGUAGGAUGAAGGCCUACUUAUCAGCUAAUUGGAAGUAAUAUAACUCAAUUAAAUUUUAAUUUUUAAGCUUAUUUGUCUUCUUCAAAGGGUUUAGAAUCGGUGCCUGAGCAGCGAGAGCAGGAGCAACCAGUCAAUUUAGACUCCAUUUGGUGAAAUUGUAAAGUUGAACAAACUAAAAUCUUUUUAUUUUUGUUUGAUUAUGUUCAUGAAAAUCAUACAAAGAUGGUUUUACAAAUGCAAAAUGUGAAACAUUAAUUGUUUGAUAAGAUGGGUAGUUAGUUAUGUAAAAUGUAAACAUUUGCCGAUUUUGUGUUGAUUUUAUUUUAAUUUUUGGUUGAGAUUUUGUUGA